This 253-nucleotide ribosomal RNA is filed under the name uncultured bacterium. Its description in RNAcentral is "partial 16S ribosomal RNA". It matches the Rfam family "Bacterial small subunit ribosomal RNA", at positions 524 to 776 of the family's 1533-position model. The record is from RNAcentral.
UACGGAGGGGGCGAGCGUUGUCCGAAGUUACUGGGCGUAAAGCGCGUGUAGGCGGCUUGGCAAGUCGGGUGUGAAAGCCCUGGGCUCAACCUAGGAAGUGCACUCGAAACUGCCUCGCUGGAGUACCGGAGAGGAAAGCGGAAUUCUCGGUGUAGAGGUGAAAUUCGUAGAUAUCGAGAGGAACACCGGUGGCGAAGGCGGCUUUCUGGACGGUUACUGACGCUGAGACGCGAAAGCGUGGGGAGCAAACAGG